UGGGCCUACGGGAGGCAGCAGUGGGGAAUAUUGCACAAUGGGCGCAAGCCUGAUGCAGCGACGCCGCGUGCGGGAUGGAGGCCUUCGGGUUGUAAACCGCUUUUGUUCAAGGGCAAGGCACGGUCUUUGGCCGUGUUGAGUGGAUUGUUCGAAUAAGCACCGGCUAACUACGUGCCAGCAGCCGCGGUAAUACGUAGGGUGCAAGCGUUAUCCGGAUUUAUUGGGCGUAAAGGGCUCUUAGGCGGUUCUUCGCGUCCGUUGUGAAAGUCCAUUGCUUAACGGUGGAUCCGCGCCG
Molecule: ribosomal RNA, 295 nt
Filed under: uncultured bacterium
Lineage: Bacteria
Description: partial 16S ribosomal RNA
Rfam family: Bacterial small subunit ribosomal RNA
Source: RNAcentral